GACCGCGUGGCUCAGUUGGCAGAGCAUUGGGCUAGUAUUCCAACAGUCGUAGGUUCGAUUCCUACAGUGGACA
Paramuricea clavata is the source of this 73-nucleotide non-coding RNA. NCBI's taxonomy places the organism in Eukaryota, Metazoa, Cnidaria, Anthozoa, Malacalcyonacea, Plexauridae. The record is from the annotation of a GenBank genome assembly.